GCCCUUAGAGUUUGAUCCUGGCUCAGGAUGAACGCUGGCGGCGUGCUUAACACAUGCAAGUCGAGCGAAGCACCUAAGAAAGAUUCUUCGGAUGAAUUCUUUUGUGACUGAGCGGCGGACGGGUGAGUAACGCGUGGGUAACCUGCCUCAUACAGGGGGAUAACAGUUAGAAAUGACUGCUAAUACCGCAUAAGACCACGGUACCGCAUGGUACAGUGGUAAAAACUCCGGUGGUAUGAGAUGGACCCGCGUCUGAUUAGCUAGUUGGUGGGGUAACGGCCUACCAAGGCGACGAUCAGUAGCCGACCUGAGAGGGUGACCGGCCACAUUGGGACUGAGACACGGCCCAAACUCCUACGGGAGGCAGCAGUGGGGAAUAUUGCACAAUGGGGGAAACCCUGAUGCAGCGACGCCGCGUGAAGGAUGAAGUAUUUCGGUAUGUAAACUUCUAUCAGCAGGGAAGAAAAUGACGGUACCUGACUAAGAAGCCCCGGCUAACUACGUGCCAGCAGCCGCGGUAAUACGUAGGGGGCAAGCGUUAUCCGGAUUUACUGGGUGUAAAGGGAGCGUAGACGGCAUUGCAAGCCAGAUGUGAAAGCCCGGGGCUCAACCCCGGGACUGCAUUUGGAACUGUAGAGCUAGAGUGUCGGAGAGGCAAGUGGAAUUCCUAGUGUAGCGGUGAAAUGCGUAGAUAUUAGGAGGAACACCAGUGGCGAAGGCGGCUUGCUGGACGAUGACUGACGUUGAGGCUCGAAAGCGUGGGGAGCAAACAGGAUUAGAUACCCUGGUAGUCCACGCCGUAAACG
This 806-nucleotide ribosomal RNA is filed under the name uncultured bacterium. Its description in RNAcentral is "bacterial SSU rRNA". It matches the Rfam family "Bacterial small subunit ribosomal RNA", at positions 1 to 808 of the family's 1533-position model. The record is from RNAcentral.